This 33-nucleotide ribosomal RNA is filed under the name Phyllactinia moricola. RNAcentral's name for it is "partial 18S ribosomal RNA". RNAcentral also lists the same sequence under 7 other names. The record is from RNAcentral. Lineage: Eukaryota; Fungi; Ascomycota; Leotiomycetes; Helotiales; Erysiphaceae.
CUUUCCGUAGGUGAACCUGCGGAAGGAUCAUUA